UGCUAAUACCGGAUAACAACAGAUGAUGCCUAUCAACUGUUUAAAAGAUGGUUCUGCUAUCACUCUCGGAUGGACCUGCGGUGCAUUAGCUAGUUGGUAGGGUAACGGCCUACCAAGGCGAUGAUGCAUAGCCGAGUUGAGAGACUGAUCGGCCACAUUGGGACUGAGACACGGCCCAAACUCCUACGGGAGGCAGCAGGU
Molecule: ribosomal RNA, 201 nt
Filed under: uncultured Lactobacillus sp.
Lineage: Bacteria; Bacillati; Bacillota; Bacilli; Lactobacillales; Lactobacillaceae
Description: partial 16S ribosomal RNA
Rfam family: Bacterial small subunit ribosomal RNA
Source: RNAcentral